This 1349-nucleotide ribosomal RNA is filed under the name uncultured marine eukaryote. RNAcentral describes it as "SSU rRNA". It matches the Rfam family "Eukaryotic small subunit ribosomal RNA", at positions 411 to 1772 of the family's 1831-position model. The record is from RNAcentral.
CACUUCUAAGGAAGGCAGCAGGCGCGCAAAUUACCCAAUCCUGACUCAGGGAGGUAGUGACAAGAAAUAACAAUAAACCGGCUUAUGCCGGUUUAAUUGGAAUGAGUACAAUUUAAACAUCUUAACGAGGAACAAUUGGAGGGCAGGUCUGGUGCCAGCAGCCGCGGUAAUUCCAGCUCCAAUAGCGUAUACUAAAGUUGUUGCAGUUAAAAAGCUCGUAGUUGGAUUUCUGUGGGGACGGAGCGGCCGGCCGCACAUCGCGGUUCGAGCUAGCGCUUUCCCUACAUCCUGCCGCGAACCGUGCUACCAUUAAUUUGGUGGCGCUGGGGAUCGGCUCGAUUACUUUGAGAAAAAUAGAGUGUUCAAAGCAGGCCACAUGCCUUGAAUAAGUUAGCAUGGAAUAAUAACUAAGGACUUCGGUUCUAUUUUGUUGGUGUUCGGGACUGAAGUAAUGAUUGAUAGGGACAGUUGGGGCGGUCUGUAUUCCAAAGCGAGAGGUGAAAUUCUUAGACCUUCGGAAGACAAACAGCUGCGAAAGCGUUCCGCAAGGAUGUUCCCUUUGAUCAAGAACGAAAGUUGGGGGAUCGAAGACGAUCAGAUACCGUCGUAGUCUCAACUAUAAACUAUACCAGCUAGGGAUCGGCCAACGUUAUUUCAAACCGACUUGGUCGGCACCUUAUGAGAAAUCAAAGCAUCUGGGUUCCGGGGGGAGUAUGGUCGCAAGGCUGAAACUUAAAGGAAUUGACGGAAGGGCACCACCAGCCGUGGAGCCUGUGGCUUAAUUUGACUCAACACGGGAAAACUUACCAGGUCCAGACAUAGUAAGGAUUGACAGAUUGAUAGCUCUUUCUUGAUUCUGUGGGUGGUGGUGCAUGGCCGUUCUUAGUUGGUGGAGUGAUUUGUCUGGUUAAUUCCGUUAACGAACGAGACCCCAGCCUGCUAAAUAGCGCGCGUGAGCUUUGCUCGCGGCGAGCUUCUUAGAGGGACUAUGCUGCGCGAUAGCACAUGGAAGUUUGGGGCAAUAACAGGUCUGUGAUGCCCUUAGAUGUUCUGGGCCGCACACGGGCUACACUGGCGCCUGCAACGAGCAUAUCAGCUGGUCCGAGAGGGUCUUGGCUAAUCUUUUGAACCGGCGCCGUGCUUGGGAUUGACCUUUGCAAUUGUUGGUCAUGCAACGAGGAAUGCCUUGUAAACGCGAGUCAUCAGCUCGCAUUGAAUACGUCCCUGCCCUUUGUACACACCGCCCGUCGCUCCUACCGAUGAAUGUUCCGAUGAAAUUUUCGGAGAGCACCUGUGAACUUGGCUCUGCCUUGCGAACGGGAGGCUCAAAGUCACUUAAAUCUGAACAU